GGAGAGAUGGCCGAGUGGUUUAAGGCAGCAGUCUUGAAAACUGCCGUAGGUGCAAGCCUGCCGUGGGUUCGAAUCCCACUCUCUCCGCCA
Molecule: transfer RNA, 90 nt
Filed under: Luteibacter sp.
Lineage: Bacteria; Pseudomonadati; Pseudomonadota; Gammaproteobacteria; Lysobacterales; Rhodanobacteraceae
Description: tRNA-Ser
Rfam family: tRNA
About the family: Transfer RNA (tRNA) molecules are approximately 80 nucleotides in length. Their secondary structure includes four short double-helical elements and three loops (D, anti-codon, and T loops).
Source: RNAcentral